GACGAACGCUGGCGGCGUGCUUAACACAUGCAAGUCGAACGGACAGGCCAUGCUUUUGCGGGCUGCACGAGUGGCGAACGGGUGCGUAAGGCGUGAGUACCCUGACCUUGCCUGUGGGGUAACUUCAGGAAACUGGGGCUAACACUGGCUAGGAGCUCCUGCUGCUUAGUGUGGGUUGGAAAGUUUCGGCGGUUGGGAAUGGACUCGCGGCUUAUCAGCUUGUUGGUGGGGUAGUGGCUUAGCAAGGCGUUGGCGGAUCGCCGGCCUGAGAGGGUGACCGGCCACAGUGGGACAGAGAUGCGGCCCAGACGCCUACGGGAGGCAGCGGCGGGGGAUAGUGCACGAUGGGCGGAAGCCGUGUGCAGCAACGCCGCGUGGUGGAGGACGGCCUUCGGGUUGUAAACCGUGUGCGCGUGGGACGAACCGUGAGUGACGGUAAUGGGUAAAGAAGCACCGGCUAACUACGUG
Molecule: ribosomal RNA, 468 nt
Filed under: uncultured bacterium
Lineage: Bacteria
Description: partial 16S ribosomal RNA
Rfam family: Bacterial small subunit ribosomal RNA
Source: RNAcentral